RNAcentral lists this ribosomal RNA (497 nucleotides) under uncultured bacterium. RNAcentral's name for it is "partial 16S ribosomal RNA". It matches the Rfam family "Bacterial small subunit ribosomal RNA", at positions 28 to 507 of the family's 1533-position model. The record is from RNAcentral.
GAUGAACGCUGGCGGCGUGCCUAAUACAUGCAAGUCGAGCGAACGGACGAGAAGCUUGCUUCUCUGAUGUUAGCGGCGGACGGGUGAGUAACACGUGGAUAACCUACCUAUAAGACUGGGAUAACUUCGGGAAACCGGAGCUAAUACCGGAUAAUAUUUUGAACCGCAUGGUUCAAAAGUGAAAGACGGUCUUGCUGUCACUUAUAGAUGGAUCCGCGCUGCAUUAGCUAGUUGGUAAGGUAACGGCUUACCAAGGCAACGAUGCAUAGCCGACCUGAGAGGGUGGUCGGCCACACUGGAACUGCGACACGGUCCAGCCUCCUCCGGGGGGCAGCAGUAGGGAAUCUUCCGCAAUGGGCGAAAGCCUGACGGAGCAACGCCGCGUGAGUGAUGAAGGUCUUCGGAUCGUAAAACUCUGUUAUUAGGGAAGAACAUAUGUGUAAGUAACUGUGCACAUCUUGACGGUACCUAAUCAGAAAGCCACGGCUAACUACGUG